UUGUGGAGAUGCCGGAAUCCCACCUACCUUCAGAGCUUUGCCUUGUUAUGGGGUCUUUCCAUCUUAUGAGGAUGGUUGUUUUUUAUUUUCAGAGGAUCUUUUGAGGUUGUCUGUGUUGGGUCUGAGGAGAGGAAGCCAUGCUUACCUGGAAGUCCAAUUGCCUAGUCUUUACCACUCUUCUGUCUUAGAAUUGAAACUAAGACUGAAAGUCAGGAAUUUUUGAAAAGAGAUAAACCAGAGAUAAUGAUCUUUAAAAAUGUUUUUGUUUUCUAAAGAUAAUGUUUUUUUUUAACCUUCCUUUAAACCCUUACCUUCCAUCUUGGAAUCAAUGUUGUGUAUUGGUUCCAAGGCCAAAGAGUGGUAAGGGCUAGGCAAUGGGGGUCAAGUGACUUGCCCAGGGUCACACAGCUGGGAAGUGUCUGAGGCCAGAUUUGAAUCUAGGAUCUCCUGUCUCUAGGCCUGCCUCUCAAUCCACUGAGCUACCCAGCUGCCCUGAAAGAUAAUGGUUUUUAAAGCCCUUUGUAGCUGGAAAGUCUUAGAGACAUGCAAGUUAUUUUGGUAGUAUGAGUGAGUCCUUAUUAGAUGCAGAAUUACUGUGGUAGGUAGCUGGGAAGGCUCAAACAGGAUGAAGAUAUGGUGCUAAAACACAGAGGCAGACAGCUACAGGGCCCAAGAGAACCUAAGUGAGAGGUGCAAACCACAUGCUGUGUGACAUACACAUCACUUAACUCACCUGCUCAUCAGCUGUCUGUGCUAGAAUGGCAGGUUCUGGAAAAAAGGCAAGAAUGUACCAACAUGGAGAUUCUGACUCGAGAUUCCAAGCUCACUGAAUCACAGUAUCUCCGAAUUGGGUUGGUAUUUCAGAGCUAUCUGAGAGGAUUAUCCUAUACAGCAUCACUAGCAAGUGACCAGACAACCUUUGCUUGAGCCAAAGGAAGUGAGAGUUACGGCGUUUACAUGAUGUGGUCCAAAGAGCCCCAGACUUGGGAGGCUUUCCUUGGGUUUCAUUCUAGCCUUGUCACUAAUUGAGGUCAAGUCACUUCCCCCUUAGUGGGGCAGGUUCUCCCAUCUGUACUAAAUCCCAUUCUCUUCUGACUAUUUAUUUGAUGAGGACAUUUAAGGAUCCUCUGAAGGAGGAUAGACAGAAUCUUGGGUCAUGGAUUCAGACCUGGGAGGGACUUCACAGGCAGUCUUGUCCAGUUUCCUCAUUGUAUAGAUAAACUGAGAACUAAGGAGAUUAAAUGUCUUGCUUGUCACACUUUCAGAAAGUGACAGGCAAGAAUUAAACCCAACUUGCCUCACCCUAGAGUUAUUGUUCAUCUCACUAGACUAUACAAGGCUCCCGUGUCUUCAUAAUUAGCCCUCUUGGUGCUGAACAUACUAGAGGCUGGCCCUUGCUUACCUUCUGUUCAGAGCAGGUAGAUUUUUUUUUAAAUUUUCUGGUUUCCUGACUAUUCUUACCAUGAUUUCUAUUUCUCAGUUUUAUCUAUGGAUAGUUUUUUUUAACUGCAAUGAAGGGAUGAGGGUGCAUGAGUGAUUUUUAAUUAAAAACCAAUUGUUUGCUUCUGGAAAUCUAAAGCCCCAAUUAACAAGCAAACUCCAUAAAACUUCAUCACUUGAGCCUUUGAGACAGGAGGCAGCAGUAAAAGGGUGACAUGCCAAAAACAAAUUACAUGCAUUUAUCAGUAAAUGGAGCAGUCUAUGCAAAUGAACUCCAGCUUGGGAACUCAUGGAAUUGCUGGAUUGCACUGGUUAACAGUGCAAUUCAUUAGCAGAUGAGAAUAGAGUAUAGACCAGGGGUCCCCAAACUACAUUUCCUGGGCCACAUGUGGCUCCCUGAGGCCAUGUAUCCGGCCCCCACCGCACUUCCGGACGGGGCACCUCUUUCAUUGGUGGUCAGUGAGAGGAGCACUGUGUGUGGUGGCGCCACUCAGGCACAGUACUACUUCCGGUGACAUAAUCCUUUGCAUUGUGCCUUAGAAUGAGGUGCCACGCAAAGGAUUAUGAGGCUGCACAAUGGAAGACGUCAGCAUGGUAAUCGAAUUCGGGCUCAUGGCUCUGGAAUGUGCUGUAAACAUUGUAUUCACCCCUUCGAUGAAGCUGAUUUUUACUCUGUUGGUGGAGAAACACAAAAGAGAUUUUUAAAACCAGUAAACAUUUAUUAGGCACCUACUAUGUACCAGUGCACCAUGCUAAGCACUAUCAGGAGAAAUUGAUGAAGCCUCCUUCUCCACUGCACCCUGAAGAUGGACUUCCUUACAUGAACAAAGAAUCACACAGGAUGGGCAGGAAUGGAUGGACUGCCUUGUGCAUCCUUGGAGGGACAACCAAAUCAAUGAAAUCCCAGUACCAAAUGUGCUUUUGAAUAUUUCCAAAAGGCUUUUUGAUUCAACUUUUGAAGAUCUGUGCCCAAGAAUCAAAACUUAGAUUGUUCAAGCAUUAGUCUUGAAAACAACUUUCUGAAUAAAAUGUUAGUUCUUAUGUAUCUGGGUUCAAACACAGAUAAAUGAAAAGAACAUUGAAUUUUUAAUCAGAAGACCCUGGUUUAAAGCCUGACUCUUUUAUUUACUCACUGUGUGGCCUUGGGAAACAUAUUUAAGCUUUCUGUGCUUUAGUUUCCUUGCCUAUGUAAAAAAGAAGGGGAUGAAGAGGGGUUACAUUAGUCUGGAUGAGUUGUUUCCUUCCAAAUGGACAUCUUAACUGAAAUCUAAACCAACUGGAUCCCAGUUGAUCAGGAUGAAUGGCUCAUAGUGAAGUUUCUAGAAAACCAAUCUGCAUUUUCUGUGGCUCUCCCAUAUGUCCUUGCUUUCUCCAUUUACUAAUGCCAGAAAUCUGCCAGCGACUUUGGAAGCCCAGA
Monodelphis domestica (gray short-tailed opossum) is the source of this 2857-nucleotide long non-coding RNA. RefSeq lists it as uncharacterized. Lineage: Eukaryota; Metazoa; Chordata; Mammalia; Didelphimorphia; Didelphidae. The record is from RefSeq and is a predicted model, not a curated record.